This 429-nucleotide long non-coding RNA is filed under the name Elaeis guineensis (African oil palm). Its description in RNAcentral is "long non-coding RNA (EGUI_LNC048137)". Lineage: Eukaryota; Viridiplantae; Streptophyta; Magnoliopsida; Arecales; Arecaceae. The record is from RNAcentral.
CCCAAGGAUUCUCUAACUAUAAACUUGAGAUCUAGGUGGCUCUACGCAUUAUGUGUAUGGUGUGCACAAAACAUGCAUGCUUAUAUCAUAUGAGUAUUGCUCUCUUUAGACUAAUAAAAUUGAUCUACUUGAACUACCAAGUCUCUAUUUUUCAUUAAAUUGUGUUGCCACUCAAAACCCAGCCCGAUAGGUGGAUGAGCUGACGGACAAGUGUGAAGCACCUUCAAUGGCCAUUCUUGUGACUCAUUAGUCGGCCAUGCCAACUUGGUUGAGAUCACCCUAGACCACCAUAGUAAAGGCCUACACUUGUUGAAUGAGUAGUUUGAACUGCUCGAGAGUCACAAUUGGUGGAUGCUGAGAUAGUUGAGAAGGCAGAACACCAGCUUGGCUUGAUAGGUGUGACAUCUUGAAUCAAGAAUGUGGUGACCU